GUAGGUGGCAAGCGUUGUCCGGAAUUAUUGGGCGUAAAGCGCGCGCAGGUGGUUCUUUAAGUCUGAUGUGAAAGCCCCCGGCUCAACCGGGGAGGGUCAUUGGAAACUGGGGAACUUGAGUGCAGGAGAGGAAAGUGGAAUUCCACGUGUAGCGGUGAAAUGCGUAGAUAUGUGGAGAAACACCAGUGGCGAAGGCGACUUUCUGGCCUGUAACUGACACUGAGGCGCGAAAGCGUGGGGAGCAAACAGGGAUUAGAUACCCUGGUAGUCCACGCCGUAAACGAUGAGUGCUAAGUGUUGGGGGGGUUUCCCGCCCCUCAGUGCUGCAGCUAACGCAUUAAGCACUCCGCCUGGGGAGUACGGUCGCAAGACUG
Molecule: ribosomal RNA, 374 nt
Filed under: uncultured organism
Description: partial 16S ribosomal RNA
Rfam family: Bacterial small subunit ribosomal RNA
Source: RNAcentral